UUUUCUUUGAAUUCUUUUUUAUUUUCCUUUUUUUUUUUCAAUUUUUUUUUCGAUUCUUUUUCUCUCUAUUUUUUUUUUUUUUCUUCUUUCAAAGAUACAAGCAAAUGUUGAGAACAAAAUAGAAAACAUAACAAGAGGCUAAAGGUUAGGGAAACUCUAUGACACACGCGCAGGUUCCUCCAGACGUCUCUUUUAAAAGCUUUGAUAUGCUGCGGACACGAUUUCUUAGAGAGAGAGAGAGAGAGAGAGAGAAAAAGAGAGAAAGAAAGAGAGAAAGAGAGAAAGAGAGAAAGAAAUUUACAUACACGCGUUGUCAUAAAGAUACAAAGUACACUAAGAAUUCUCGAUGUUGUAACACUGUAAUUCUAUGCUAUUAUAACUGAUUGUACGCAGUUGUUAUUCCGUAGUAAGUACCAAACAAGUUUUAAACGAAAAGAUAAAAAAAAAAAAACACAAUAAAAACAAGAAAUAAUAAUAAUAAUACUAAUACUAAUACGAAACAGUACGUUUAUAAAAUUCCUGUGACGUGUAAUAACGAGUGAGCGAGAGAGAGAGAGAGAGAGAGAGAGAGACAACACGCCGCGCUUUAAUGUGCGAAAUUUCAAUCUGAGAAAUACAAAAAAGAACGAGAGAGAGAGAGAGAGGAGAGAGAGAGAGAGAGCGAAGAGAGAGAGAGAAGAGCAGAAGAAAGAAUGAAAGAAAUAAAGAAUGAAAGUGGCGUGGACUGAGAAAGUAAAUAUGUGGUAAGAAAGAUGGAAUGUGGUAUAGUGACUGCCUCGUGUAAGUACUUUUGUCAAAAUUUAUUUUUUUUCAAAGAGAACAAAAAAAGAAAAAAAAAAAAGGGAAGAGAAAAGAAGGGAGAGACCGAGCAAAACACUAAGGGCAUGCAUAAUAAUAAAUAAAUAAUAAAUAAUAAAUAAUAAUAAUGAUAACGAUAAUAUUAUUGAUAAUAUUAUUAAUAAUAAUAAUGAUACAUAAUAAUAAUAACUAAUAAUAAGCUAAUACAUAAUAAUAAUAAUGGUACAUAAUAAUGAUACAUAAUAAUAAAUAAUAAAUAAUAAAUAAUAAUAAUAAUAAUAGUAAUAAUAACAAUAAUGUAACGCAAUCGAACAGAAGAUAUAAAAGUCCAGGUUUCCAUACAUAGAACGGUGAAAGAAAUUCAAACGGAUCAUUUUUUGACGAGGGCAAUCAAUCAAUAUAUAUGGUCCUCUAUAUAAAACAGAUAAAAAAAUAUAAAGCGAAGGGAAAAGGAGAAGGAAAGAAAAAGGAUAAGAAAAGAACAAUGAAGAAAAACAACAAUGUGAGGAAUGAGAGUAUCUAAGAUAAAUCUUAAAGAAGUUGAGAAUCGCUCAUCGUCGUCGUACACACGCACGUGUUAUCGUGUUUAACUGUUAUUCAAGAUAUUAUACCUCUGUCGAAGUAAAUUAAAAGUUAAAAAGUAAAAAAGAACAAAAAAUGAAAAAAAAAGUGGGAAAAUGAGAGAGAGAGAGACGAGGACGAAGGCUGAUUAAAAAGUACUACACCAACGCGUGAAAGAACAAAAGUUAAAGGCAGGAGGAAGAAGACGAAAAAAAAGGAGCAAAAAAAUUAAGAACACGCAAGUAAAUAAUAAAUUAAUGAAUGAUGGAAUGAGUGAAUAAAUAAAUAAAUGAAUAAAUAAAUAAAUAAAUAAAGAAAUAAUAAUUAAAUAAAAGAAAAACUGGGGAAAAUUAUAAUAGAAAAAUAGACGCGACAAAUUGAGAAUGAGUGACAAACGUACAAUGCGGGAUUGAAAUAGAAGAAAAAGGAAGGAAGAAAAAAAAAUUAAAAAAUAAAAGAGAAAUCGAAAGAAAAAGCUUUGUUGCGAGCAUAAAAGAAUCCUCUUAUGAGCGUUAGAGCAACAAUAACAACAAACAACAGUAAAAACUAGUAGUACUUGUAAUUAAAAAAAAAAAAAAAAAAAAAAAAAACGAAAAAAAAACCAAAAAAAAAAAAAACAAAAAAGAAACCAAAAAAAAACGAGAGAAAAGAAAAGAAAAUUUCUCCGCUAUUGGCACAAAUAUUGAUCGAUCGAUCGAUCCCUCUCCUGCGCGAUAUAUACAUCAUCGACGACCGGAUCUAUGAAAGAACAUUAGUUCGUUCCUCUCGAAGAAAAAGAAAAUGAAGAAGAAA
This is a long non-coding RNA of Vespa velutina, 2151 nucleotides long. RefSeq lists it as uncharacterized. The transcript has 2 exons. NCBI's taxonomy places the organism in Eukaryota, Metazoa, Arthropoda, Insecta, Hymenoptera, Vespidae. The record is from RefSeq and is a predicted model, not a curated record.